This is a long non-coding RNA of Podarcis raffonei (Aeolian wall lizard), 1753 nucleotides long. RefSeq lists it as uncharacterized. NCBI's taxonomy places the organism in Eukaryota, Metazoa, Chordata, Lepidosauria, Squamata, Lacertidae. The transcript has 2 exons. The record is from RefSeq and is a predicted model, not a curated record.
AGUCGGAGGAAUCCCUUGAGUGAGCCCUCGGAGGCACCCCUGUCAGACAUCACAGAAGAGGAAAAGUGCUCAACACUGUAGCAGUUGGGAAAAGCAAAAUCAGGAAGCUUCAAGAGAAAAGAACGAAAAUGUGACAGACAGCAUAAAAAUUAAUCAAACCAUGCUGAAUAUAAGGGGAAUAUUUGACUAACCCACUCUUCGGUACAGUGACAACUAAAAUAGACGGUCUUGUAUCCAAUGCUGCAUGAGCAGAGUUCAAUGUGUUAAUGGAAGCCCACUGUGCAAACGUAACACCACAAAUGGGUUAUCAUUUGAUGACUAGGAACUUGGAAGUUGACUUAAUCCAAGUCAGAACAUUUACAAUUCUGCUUCUGUGAUCGACACAUCUUGUUCAGUAUACUCUACACUGACUGGCAGUAGCUCUCUGGGACUUCAGAGAAGACUCUUUCCAAUCCUACAUGGCGAUGCCAGGGAUUAAAUAUGGAAACUUCUGCAGACAAAGCAAUUGUUCCAACAUCUGAAAACUGCAGGCAACAGCCACAAAACUGUACAUGAAUGGCCUUCUUACUGAGCUAAUUCUCUUAACUAAUUAUGUAAAAUGUGUCUGAAAUUCUGGCUAACACUAUACAAGCACUGGAUUAUGCAAGAAUGGUCUUCAGUAAAAUCACUAAUUGGCUAUAGUGUUAUCCCUACUCCUUUCCUAUUAUAAGUAUUCUAAUGAGUGGAAACCUGAACAUUCUAACACUACACAAUUAUACAGAAUCCUCAAGACCCAUAAUUUUGGGAGAUAUGCUUAACUCCCACUCCUCCCCCUGUCCCCUGAAAUAAUGACCUCAGGAACCUACUGCUUAGUGAAUACACUCAGCAGAACAUUUGGUUAUUUUAGUAGAAUUCUUCAAUAAAGUGAAAUAUUAAAACCUAAUAUGCCAAUAUCAGCUACCUUGCAAUAUAUGCGUAUACGUUGCUUUAUAUAAAGGCAAAUAUCAACAGGCUUAUAUACAUAUUGCUACUUUUAAGUCAUUGAACUACUUCCUGAACACCUACUGCAAACUGAGUGUUUUCCACUACAUCCAGAAAAUAAUCAACAUUUCCAUUCUCAUAGAAUACAAAAUGUAGAUGUAGAGAAGUCUCUGAACCUUAAUCUGUAAUACAAACUGCAUCUCCUUCUACAUAAAAUAAGCAACUGAAAUAAGGAACUAUCUGUGGAAUGGAAGAAAACUUAUGGUCCUUGUGAGAGCAAUAUAGUUUUAGAUACAUCAGCAGAUCCUGACUAAUGAAUUAAACUAGAUUCAGUUGUCAUGAAUACUUCUGGCUACAAUUAAGAAAUUGACAUUCUUAAGAAAUGCAACGUUAGAAAAACAAGGGGACAAUACCCAAGUACUGGAAGGCAAUUAAUACUAUCCACCAUUGCUCCACCAGGCCGGUUGCUUGGCCUCAAAGUCAGAAAGCUUCCUAAAUCUGGAAACAUGACUCCUUUAUUCUUCCCAAUGAAGAGUUAUUGACCCCAGAGAAAUAAUCAAGCCAUGCUGACCAAAGUACUGUACUUAGAGUCAACUUUAUUUGACACAAACCAAGAUGGCAAUAAUAUGGAAGGGCAUUACAGGAAGUAUUUACAAAGAUUUACAAUGUCUGCGUAAAGCAAAAAUAUAUUAUUUCAAAAACUCCAGGUUAAAAAAAGCUGUGUCAUCUUAAUUUGGAAUUUCAAUGUACAAUAAGCUCAACUAUAGUAUGUUAUGAGAUUUGAUACAUUAUU